CAGUCGCCACGGUAAAACGUAGGGUGCAAGCGUUAAUCGGAAUUACUGGGCGUAAAGCGUGCGCAGGCGGUUAUGUAAGACAGUUGUGAAAUCCCCGGGCUCAACCUGGGAACUGCAUCUGUGACUGCAUAGCUAGAGUACGGUAGAGGGGGAUGGAAUUCCGCGUGUAGCAGUGAAAUGCGUAGAUAUGCGGAGGAACACCGAUGGCGAAGGCAAUCCCCUGGACCUGUACUGACGCUCAUGCACGAAAGCGUGGGGAGCAAACGGGAUUAGAUACCCCUGUAGUCCCUGUCUCUUAUAU
RNAcentral lists this ribosomal RNA (301 nucleotides) under uncultured bacterium. Its description in RNAcentral is "partial 16S ribosomal RNA". It matches the Rfam family "Bacterial small subunit ribosomal RNA", at positions 509 to 809 of the family's 1533-position model. The record is from RNAcentral.